Molecule: ribosomal RNA, 524 nt
Filed under: Salmonella enterica subsp. enterica serovar Enteritidis
Lineage: Bacteria; Pseudomonadati; Pseudomonadota; Gammaproteobacteria; Enterobacterales; Enterobacteriaceae
Description: partial 23S ribosomal RNA
Rfam family: Bacterial large subunit ribosomal RNA
Source: RNAcentral
AUACCCGAAUGGGGAAACCCAGUGUGAUUCGUCACACUAUCAUUAACUGAAUCCAUAGGUUAAUGAGGCGAACCGGGGGAACUGAAACAUCUAAGUACCCCGAGGAAAAGAAAUCAACCGAGAUUCCCCCAGUAGCGGCGAGCGAACGGGGAGGAGCCCAGAGCCUGAAUCAGCAUGUGUGUUAGUGGAAGCGUCUGGAAAGGCGCGCGAUACAGGGUGACAGCCCCGUACACAAAAGCGCAUGUGCUGUGAGCUCGAUGAGUAGGGCGGGACACGUGGUAUCCUGUCUGAAUAUGGGGGGACCAUCCUCCAAGGCUAAAUACUCCUGACUGACCGAUAGUGAACCAGUACCGUGAGGGAAAGGCGAAAAGAACCCCGGCGAGGGGAGUGAAAAAGAACCUGAAACCGUGUACGUACAAGCAGUGGGAGCACCCUUUGGGUGUGACUGCGUACCUUUUGUAUAAUGGGUCAGCGACUUAUAUUCUGUAGCAAGGUUAACCGAAUAGGGGAGCCGGAGGGAAACC